GAAUUGCAUUGGUGACUGCACGGCUAGAGUGUGUCAGAGGGGGGUAGAAUUCCACGUGUAGCAGUGAAAUGCGUAGAGAUGUGGAGGAAUACCGAUGGCGAAGGCAGCCCCCUGGGAUAACACUGACGCUCAUGCACGAAAGCGUGGGGAGCAAACAGGAUUAGAUACCCCGGUAGUCCACGCCCUAAACGAUGUCAACUAGUUGUUGGGGAUUCAUUUCCUUAGUAACGUAGCUAACGCGCGAAGUUGACCGCCUGGGGAGUACGGUCGCAAGAUUAAAACUCAAAGGAAUUGACGGGGACCCGCACAAGCGGUGGAUGAUGUGGAUUAAUUCGAUGCAACGCGAAAAACCUUACCUACCCUUGACAUGCCACUAACGAAGCAGAGAUGCAUUAGGUGCUCGAAAGAGAAAGUGGACACAGGUGCUGCAUGGCUGUCGUCAGCUCGUGUCGUGAGAUGUUGGGUUAAGUCCCGCAACGAGCGCAACCCUUGUCUCUAGUUGCUACGAAAGGGCACUCUAGAGAGACUGCCGGUGACAAACCGGAGGAAGGUGGGGAUGACGUCAAGUCCUCAUGGCCCUUAUGGGUAGGGCUUCACACGUCAUACAAUGGUGCAUACAGAGGGUUGCCAAGCCGCGAGGUGGAGCUAAUCCCAGAAAAUGCAUCGUAGUCCGGAUCGUAGUCUGCAACUCGACUACGUGAAGC
RNAcentral lists this ribosomal RNA (704 nucleotides) under uncultured Ralstonia sp. Its description in RNAcentral is "bacterial SSU rRNA". It matches the Rfam family "Bacterial small subunit ribosomal RNA", at positions 618 to 1326 of the family's 1533-position model. The record is from RNAcentral. Lineage: Bacteria; Pseudomonadati; Pseudomonadota; Betaproteobacteria; Burkholderiales; Burkholderiaceae.